GCCCGGGUGGCGGAAUGGCAGUCGCGGCCGGCUUAAACCCGGCUGUCCCUCGGGACAUGUGGGUUCGAGUCCCACCCCGGGCA
RNAcentral lists this transfer RNA (83 nucleotides) under Actinomycetes bacterium. RNAcentral's name for it is "Actinobacteria bacterium tRNA-Leu". It matches the Rfam family "tRNA". From Rfam's summary of the family: Transfer RNA (tRNA) molecules are approximately 80 nucleotides in length. Their secondary structure includes four short double-helical elements and three loops (D, anti-codon, and T loops). The record is from RNAcentral. RNAcentral also lists the same sequence under 1 other name. Lineage: Bacteria; Bacillati; Actinomycetota; Actinomycetes.